RNAcentral lists this ribosomal RNA (1114 nucleotides) under uncultured organism. RNAcentral describes it as "bacterial SSU rRNA". It matches the Rfam family "Bacterial small subunit ribosomal RNA", at positions 252 to 1396 of the family's 1533-position model. The record is from RNAcentral.
GUAGGGUAAUGGCCUACCAAGGCAAAGACGGGUAGGGGGCGUGAGAGCGUGACCCCCCACACUGGCACUGGGACACGGGCCAGACUCCUACGGGAGGCAGCAGUGAGGAAUAUUGCGCAAUGAGCGAAAGCUAGACGCAGCAACGCCGCGUGGGUGAUGAAGGCCUUCGGGUCGUAAAACCCUUUUCUGGGGGAAGAGUAAGGACGGUACCCCAGGAAUAAGCCUCGGCUAACUAUGUGCCAGCAGCCGCGGUAAUACAUAGGAGGCAAGCGUUAUACGGAUUUACUGGGCGUAAAGAGCGUUGAGGCGGCUUCGUAAGUUGGACGUGAAAGCUCCCGGCUUAACUGGGAGAGGCCGUUCAAUACUGCGGGGCUUGAGGACAGCAGAGGGGGGUGGAAUUUCCGGUGUAGUGGUGAAAUGCGUAGAUAUCGGAAGGAACACCAGUGGCGAAGGCGGACCACUGGGCUGCUCCUGACGCUGAAGGCGAAAGCUAGGGUAGCGAACGGGAUUAGAAACCCCGGUAGUCCUAGCCGUAAACGAUGGAUACUAGGUGUAGGAGGUUAAAUUCGUUCUGUGCCGGAGCUAACGCGGUAAGUAUCCCGCCUGGGGAGUACGGUCGCAAGGCUAAAACUCAAAGGAAUUGACGGGGGCCCGCACAAGCAGCGGAGCGUGUGGUUAAAUUCGAUGCAACGCGAAGAACCUUACCAGGGCUUGACAUGUAGGUAGUAGUGAAGCGAAAGCGGAACGAUCCUUCGGGAAGCCUACACAGGUGCUGCAUGGCUGUCGUCAGCUCGUGCCGUGAGGUGUUAGGUUAAGUCCUGUAACGAGCGCAACCCCUGCCGUUAGUUACAAGUGUCUAACGGGACUGCCCGGCAAAACUGGGAGCAAGCUGGGGAUGACGUCAAGUCAGCAUGGCCUUUAUGUCCUGGGCUACACACACGCUACAAUGGCCGGUACAAUGGGUUGCCAAGCCGCGAGGCGGAGCCAAUCCUCUAAAGCCGGUCUCAGUUCGGAUUGUAGGCUGCAACCCGCCUGCAUGAAGUUGGAGUUGCUAGUAACCGCAGGUCAGCCACACUGCGCUGAAUACGUUCCCGGGCAUUGUACACACCGCCCG